Molecule: ribosomal RNA, 508 nt
Filed under: uncultured bacterium
Lineage: Bacteria
Description: partial 16S ribosomal RNA
Rfam family: Bacterial small subunit ribosomal RNA
Source: RNAcentral
GACGAACGCUGGCGGCGUGCUUAACACAUGCAAGUCGAACGGGAUAAUUUGAGAGCUUGCUCUUAGAGAAUCUAGUGGCAAACGGGUGAGUAACACGUAGACAACCUGCCGACAGGAUGGGGACAACAUUCCGAAAGGAAUGCUAAUACCGAAUGAAGCGGAGGAGAGGCAUCUCUCCUCCGUGAAAGAUGGCCUCUGAAUAUGCUAUCACCUGUCGAUGGGUCUGCGUCUGAUUAGCUAGUUGGUGAGGUAACGGCUCACCAAGGCGACGAUCAGUAGCCGGUCUGAGAGGAUGAACGGCCACAUUGGGACUGAGACACGGCCCAGACUCCUACGGGAGGCAGCAGUGGGGAAUCUUCCGCAAUGGGCGCAAGCCUGACGGAGCAACGCCGCGGGAGUGAAGAAGGUCUUCGGAUCGUAAAGCUCUGUUGACGGGGACGAACGUGCGAAGGGUGAAUAAUCCUUUGUAAUGACGGUACCUGUCGAGGAAGCCACGGCUAACUACGUG